Molecule: RNA transcript, 1888 nt
Organism: Octodon degus (degu)
Lineage: Eukaryota; Metazoa; Chordata; Mammalia; Rodentia; Octodontidae
Gene name: tyrosine-protein phosphatase non-receptor type 9 pseudogene
Exons: 2
Source: RefSeq, a predicted model, not a curated record
AUGGAUAUGCCACAGUUGGUGCAGCCAUUUAACUGUGGAAGGGUGCUGCCUUCUCCCCUGUGCCCUGUGGCCCGGCCCGGCCUGGUCCCAGAGCUGAGCCCGGAGGAGGAGCAGGCCACUAAGCAGUUUCUUGAAGAGAUUAACAAGUGGACCGUUCAGUACAAUGUUUCCCCACUCUCCUGGAAUGUGGCGGUCAAGUUCCUCAUGGCCAGGAAAUUUGAUGUGCUCAGGGCCAUUGAGCAGUUCCACUCCUACAGAGAGACACACGAAAGAAGGAAGGCAUCAUAAAGCUGAAACCUCACGUAGAAUCUCUCCGUUCUGAGAUCCUUAGUGGGCAGUUCACCAUCCUAAGUGUGCAAGACCCCACGGGAGCCUCCAUGGCCCUCUUCACUGCCAGGCUGCACCAUCCCCGCAAGUCAGUCCAACAUAUGGUCCUCUAGGCACUGUUUUACUUGCUGGACAGGGCUGUUGAUAGCUUUGAGACUCAGAGGAAUGGUUUGGUGUUUAUCUAUGACAUAUGUGGUUCUAAUUAUGCAAACUUUGAGCUGGAUCUUGGCAAGAAAGUCCUCAACCUGCUGAAGAGAGCAUUUCCAGCCGGCUUGAAAAAGGUGCUGGUUGUGAGUGCACCCAUCUGGUUGCGAGUGCCCUAUUCCCUCAUCAGCCUUCUCUUGAAGGACAAAGUGCGGGAGAGGAUUCAGAUAUUAAAGACAUCUGAGGUUACCCAGCACUUGCCCAGGGAGUGCUUUCCAGAAAACCUGGGUGGAUACGUCAGAAUCGACCUCACCACGUGGAAUUUCCAACUCCUGCCCCAGGUGAUCGGCCACCCAGAUCCCUUUGAUGAGAUCAUCCUGUCCUCCUUCCCUCCUGCCUCAGACUGGGACUCAGUACAUGUUCCAGGUCCCCAUGCCAUGACUAUCCACGAGCUGGUGGACUAUGUUAAUACUAGGCAAAAGCGGGGGAUCUAUGAAGAGUAUGAAGACAUUCGUCGGGAGAACCCCGCUGGCACUUUUCACUGUUCCAUGUCUCCAGGAAACCUAAAGAAGAAUUGUUAUGGGGACGUCCCAUGCCUGGACCAAACUUGAGUGAAGCUGACAAAACAAAGUGGCCACACUCAGACAGAUUACAUCAAUGCAGCUUCAUGGAUGGCUACAAGCAGAAGAAUGCUUACAUCAGCACCCAGGGCCCUUUGGAAAACACCUAUCGUGACUUUUGGCUCAUGGUGUAGGAGCAGAAGGUUUUGGUGAUUGUCAUGAUCACACGCUUUGAGGAAGGUGGCAGGAGGAAGCGUGGCCAGUACUGGCCUCUAGAGAAGGACACUCGGAUCCAAUUUGGCUUCCUCACAGUGACCAACUUGGGUGUGGAGAACAUGAACCAUUAUAAGAAAACAACACUUGAAAUUCACAACACAGAGGAGAGGGAGAAACACUAGGUGACCCACUUCCAAUUCCUCAGCUGGCCAGACUAUGGUGUCCCUUCCUCGGCAGCGUCGCUCACUGACUUCCUGAGGGCCUUCAGGAGCCAGCAGAGCCUGGCCAUCAGCAGCAUGGGUGCCCGCUCCAAGGGGCAAUGCCCUGAGCAGCUGCCCAUUGUAGUCCACUUCAGUGCAGGCAUCAGCAGGACAGGUACCUUCUGCUCUCUGGACAUCUUCCUGGCACAGCUGGAAGAACUUGGCACCCUCAAUGUGUUCCAGACAGUGUCAUGCAUGUGGACCCAAAAGGCCUUCAGCAUCCAGACCUCCGAGCAGUACUAUUUCUGCUACAAGGUCAUCCUGGAGUUUGCAGAAAAGGAAGGCAUGGUACCCUCUGGCCAUAACCUGCUGGCCAUGGAGGGUCAGUAACUACCCCACAGUGUCCUGCCUGCUGGCCAGCCUCCCUUAGACCACCCUGGA